Oxyura jamaicensis (ruddy duck) is the source of this 735-nucleotide long non-coding RNA. RefSeq lists it as uncharacterized. The record is from RefSeq and is a predicted model, not a curated record. The transcript has 2 exons. NCBI's taxonomy places the organism in Eukaryota, Metazoa, Chordata, Aves, Anseriformes, Anatidae.
GUUUGAACUGUGUUCAGGAAUAAAAUCUGAACCCCUGAAUAAAUGUAAUGAUGCAAUGAAUCCUUUAUUGGGUGCAGAACAGUGACUGUGUAAAUGCAAAUAAAGAGUUUGAGAACAUCUUCAUUUUGUGCUGUUGUGUGCUGGUGUUAGAAAGUAUCAUAUGCUAAGGGGAGCAAUCUACCUGUUUAUCUAGUCUCCUCUCUUGCUAGAAAAAACGCAACACCUGUGAACCCAAAAAUAUCUGGGAGAGAUGACAAAGCUCUGACAUCUCUUAAAGUCAUGAACCACGCACUGUAUUUUGGCACUGACACCACACCAAACUCAACCUAUCCGUUUGGUGCUUGCAUGAAUUUCUAUCUGUACAGCAAAUGUGAUAAAUCUGAGAUACUGAAGUUGGAUAUUAUCUCUUCUAGUUUCCAUCGACAGGAGGAGAACCAGCUGGGAGUUCUGGUUGAGCCACACGUGCUGACUACCAGGGCUCCCCUCAGUGAGCUGCUGAGACCCACCUCCAUGAGAAGGAAAUGAAAUCACCAGCCUGCAGUCAUUAAGAGGAAACUUGGCAGAAAGUGUGACGGAAGGUCUGGUAGGGUCACCCGAAGCAUCAGCGUUGAAGAAACCCAGAGGUGCAAGUGGGAUGGGUUUGACUACAGGUUGAAACUAUUUGUGACUGUAAACCCUGCCCCGAGCUGGGGUACACCUGGAUGUGUUGACCCAAAUGCAUAACAUAUUUGAGGU